Molecule: ribosomal RNA, 300 nt
Filed under: uncultured Bacillus sp.
Lineage: Bacteria; Bacillati; Bacillota; Bacilli; Caryophanales; Bacillaceae
Description: bacterial SSU rRNA
Rfam family: Bacterial small subunit ribosomal RNA (bases 69-300)
Source: RNAcentral
GUAGUGUGGGGUCUGGCAGCAGCGAUAGUGGGUAGGGGGUGGGCGGUGCCUGGAAGGGGUGUGCGGUGAUGGCUAGUAGGCGGUUUGGACAGUCGGGCGUGAAAUUCAGGGGCUCAACCGGGGGGCGGCGGUCGAUACGUGCAGGCUGGAGUAUGGAAGAGGGGCGUGGAAUUCCCAGUGUAGAGGUGAAAUUCGUAGAUAUUGGGAAGAACACCGGUGGCGAAGGCGGCGACCUGGUCCUUUACUGACGCUGAGGCGCGAAAGCGUGGGGAGCAAACAGGAUUAGAUACCCCGGUAGUC